GCUUAUGUCAAUCAUGGGCUUCCCGAAUCAACCAUUUCAUUUUGAAAAAGUUCUCAAUGAGUUAUGGCCAGAAAUUUUAACCUGGGAUGUGGAAAAUUUUCUCAGUGAACUGAAGUUUCCAAUGACCAUAAGAACUGGUCAGAAGCAGUCAAUCUUUUCUCAAAAGGAAUCUGAAGUAUCAACUGUUGCUUCAGUUACCAAAACCGAAUUCUUACGAAGAUUUCAUUCUAAAAUAUGUCUUCAUGAGUGGUUUUAUAUAGAUUAUAAAAACGCUGAGUCCGUCUUUACCAAGGAUAUCACAGAUCUUUUGGAUUGGUACAAAUUGAAUCUUCCUGAAGCUGCAAAUUAUGUACGUUGAGCCGCACUACAAUCAAAGACGCCGCCUUCUGGCUGGGAACUGCUGGUGCUCAUACCCCAUGUCACUUUGACACUUAUGGCUUCAAUGUAGUGGUUCAGCUCAAGGGACACAAACGGUGGAAAUUAUUCUAUCCUGGCCAUGAGCUCACACCAACCAGGUUGCCAUUCGAGGAAACUACCGUAUAUAGUCAGGUGGAUGUGCGGAGGCCUUGUGGCAAGUGUUUUCCUUCCUCUAAGGGACUGAAGAUGAUAGUUGUGGAUAUGAGAGAGGGCGAUGUGUUGUAUGUGCCCAAACAUUGGUGGCAUUUCGUGGAGUGUAUCGAAACUGCCGUCAAUGUCAAUCUGUGGUGUCCCCUACCAUCUGACAAGAUUGAUCAGCAGAAAGAAGCUCUGACAAAACUUCUGCUACGCAAAUUUACCCUUGGCAGCGAAGAAAGCAACCUAAUCCACUCGUCUGAAAUUGAAUCCUUUGCUAGUAAUGAACAAGAGGAAAUUGAACUUAACUUUUUGUCAAAAUCCAAGAAAAAUUUGGAUCCAAAGACAUUACAAGAAGAAGAUGCUAUAGUCUAUAAGGAUUUCAUUGAGUUUCUUAAACGCAACCUGGAAACGAAUCCGAAUUGCAAGCGGCUAGAACCAAAUAUAGAAUUGAAGACCUCGACUGAUUGCUGUUGUUUGAAUGAUCAGUUAGAUAAAAAUCCUUGGAAAAAUGUUAUCAACAGUGUUCUGCAGAAUAAUGUCCUGGAAGCUGCGCUCAAAAACUUGGUUGAGAUAUCUUGACGUUGAAUAGUUUUUUAUAAGAGAUUAAAUUUGUUUCCUCGUAUGUUGAUUACUGAAUAACGCCUUAUCUUUAUAAUGAAAUUUGCAGGAGAUUCGUCUUGUUUCCUCGUGUAUUGAUUUUUGCUUAACAGCAUUGAAUAUGAGCUCGUGUAUGCGAACCGGAGACAGCAAAAAGUGAGCAUUCACUUCAUGAAAAUAUGAAUAAAUUGGCUCGUUUCGAAUGGUCAUCUGAUCAAUAAUAAACUUUCAGAGAUGUUUUAUGCAAGUGGUAAUGGUUGCACGUUGAGAUGUCAAAAUGAUGUCCCAUUCAGGCAAUUAUUAUCACCUCUCGAAUCUACAAACUCUGCCAGAAAAUUAAAUAUGGAUUCAAUUCCUGCGAAAUUUAUGUCAGAAGAAACGAAAUUUAAAGUUAGAUUUUUCGGAUUAACUUUAUGGAGCGAUGACUGUAUGAGGAUAGUGUUAGUUGUGGAAUCCACCGCCUCUCAAAAUCAGUGGCGAGAACUUUCGAUGUUUCUCGUUGAUGAUUUUACAAAUAGCGGGCAAGUUGAACUUAAUUUAACGGGAUCAAUAAGAAUUAGUUCAAGUUCAAAUGCAUCGCUCGGUUCUCAUAUUACAGUGAACGGAAAAGUAGCGAUAAUUCCAGGAAGAAAUAAAGUUUUGUUGUUGGAUUUCGAAAACGAAACGGCUAAGUUACUGAAGUUACCUAUAAACGACGAUGAAGAAAAAGUAUUACCAAUUGUUCAUGGGAGACAAUUACUAAUUUUGAAGCAAAGUAAUGAUUUUGUUAAAAUUUUUGGCAUUAAAAAUAUCGAAAUAGUUAAUUUUGAUCCCAAAAUUGCAAUUGGGACGGAAUUUGCCGGACAUAUCGCAGGUGUUUUCUUCCCAUUUUGUUCACUGACUUGCAAAAACUUUACUUCAGAUUUGAAAACAAUCAUAUGCACUAUGCUGGUACUUACCAAAAAUGGACGGGCUAUCAAGUUAAACAGCAAAGGAGUUUGCCUAGAAAGCAGUAAUCUUGUAAUCGGAGAUUUAAACAUUACGAAAUUCAGUUUCCUACCUUCAGCAAAUGUUGAUUUUCUGUGUUUUCUGGACUAUAACGGUAACCUGUACUGGCUUAAUUUGGAGACAUUGAAAAUUGAUUUAGUUAUUGAAAAUGUUCAGAACUUUUUUGUCGGAAACUAUUUUCAAAGAUUUUAUCUACAGGUUUUGACUGUGCGUAAAACGGGAGAAUUGACGUUAGUUGACGGAACUCGGCAAACCAAGUUCGAAUUUUAUUUCAAACCUAUCAGUGAAAGAAAUGAUGAAAAUUUGUCCUCUCAAAAACUUGUGAGCAAAACGAUAAUAAACCGAGCAGAAAAUUUACAGAUACUUUUGCAAAAUCUUCGCAUAAAGAAUCUCUCUAUUGUUUCUUAUAUUCAAUCCGCGUGUUUGAAGUUCCACGAAAACAGUCAAUGGGGAAAUUUUUUAAAAUGUGACACGACAAAUGUUCUUGAAAUGGAAGCAUUUGGAAACGAAGAAAACAUUGUUUGUGUUUUGAGACUCGC
Molecule: RNA transcript, 2678 nt
Organism: Symsagittifera roscoffensis
Lineage: Eukaryota; Metazoa; Xenacoelomorpha; Acoela; Convolutidae
Gene name: HSPB1-associated protein 1 homolog
Exons: 5
Source: RefSeq, a predicted model, not a curated record